GGAGGUGAUGAAUUCAAGGCCAGCCUGAAC
Molecule: non-coding RNA, 30 nt
Filed under: Cricetulus griseus (Chinese hamster)
Lineage: Eukaryota; Metazoa; Chordata; Mammalia; Rodentia; Cricetidae
Source: RNAcentral